AGGGGUGUCAGGUAGCGCGCAUGGCUGGGGGCCAUGAGGUCGCAGGUUCGAAUCCUGUCGCUCCGA
This 66-nucleotide transfer RNA is filed under the name Alkaliphilus metalliredigens QYMF. It matches the Rfam family "tRNA". Rfam says of the family: Transfer RNA (tRNA) molecules are approximately 80 nucleotides in length. Their secondary structure includes four short double-helical elements and three loops (D, anti-codon, and T loops). Lineage: Bacteria; Bacillati; Bacillota; Clostridia; Peptostreptococcales; Natronincolaceae. The record is from Rfam by way of RNAcentral.